CAGGAUCUUGCCCUGUCUGGGUUCCUGCUCUAACUUCCUUCAGUGGUGAACAGCAAUGUUGAAGUGUAGACUUACAGUCUGGAGGCAGGUGUUCACUGAGGCGCGCAAUGUUGCAGCGAGCAGGAAGACAGAGGUGUUAGAUUCAUGAUAAACUUCUAUCCAGGUCAAGGAGGAAUCCAUUCUCCAGUCGUUAAAGUGCAGGGGCCAGAGCCUGUCAGAACAAGACCAUCAGAGACGCAGCUAAAUUUCUAGGCUUGGGGCCAAAGAGACUAUCCUGAGACGUCGUUAUGCAUGGCAAUUUAUGCACUCUUGGAAAACUGGCUUCAAAGGCCACUGAGACAGCUGCAGCUCUUGCAAUACCACUCAGUCCUAAGACAUCCCCCUGAAGCGAAGUCAGGAGACCCUGAAUUAGUAGGCACUCUGGGUGAUCCCGUGGUGGACUCUCCACAUCUUAUGAGAAGCCCCCAGCACCUACCUCCACUUUGUUCAGUGGCUUAUCAUGGAUAUACUAUAGUUUACCUGGGAUCUGGAAGUGGUAAAAACUUGGAAACUUGAAACUGAAAGGCAAUUAUGCCUGCUCUAUUUGAGAAAAAAAAAAUGCCUAGAGAUGGAGAAAACUUCUGGUAGAUUUUUAGGACUUUCACCCCAAAUUAGACAAGGGUUUUGCCUAAGCUGGAACCAACAAUGUUCUGAGGGGGUAAAAUUCAACUUGGCAGAUAUGUGACUCCUUGAAAAUCUUGUCUCCCACUUUUUGGACUUUGAGAAAGGGGAGAUGAGAGUGAAGGCCAUGGAAAUCAACAAGGAUUAAAGUGUGGAAGACCACACAGUAAGAAGAAUCAACAAGAUAGGUGGGGGUGGGGGGUGGGGUGGCGCACGCCUUUAAUCUCAGCACUCGGGAGGCAGAGGCAGGCGGGUAUCUGUGAGUUCGAGACCUACAAAGCAAGUUCCAGGACAGCUUCCAAAGCCACAGAGAAACGCUGUCUCAAAUAAAACAAAAUCAACAAGAGGAGGUGCCCCUCACUAAAAGCCUCUGUAGAAGGGGAACUUCAAUCUACAAAUUAGGAGACCACCCAAGGCAGAGGUGAGGGUCAUUACCCCAGAACAGGAAGUCUUCCGUAGAUGACUGAAAAAAAAAUUUACUGAUAAGCUUCUCUGACAACUUCAUUGAUGUAACUCUCCA
RNAcentral lists this long non-coding RNA (1180 nucleotides) under Cricetulus griseus (Chinese hamster). Its description in RNAcentral is "lncRNA (ENSCGRG00015034775.1)". Lineage: Eukaryota; Metazoa; Chordata; Mammalia; Rodentia; Cricetidae. The record is from RNAcentral.